GCCUUCGUGGUGUAGUGGUCAGCACGCUCGACGCGCAACCGAGUAGGUCCGUGGUUCGAUUCCCGGCGAAGCCG
This 74-nucleotide transfer RNA is filed under the name Stegodyphus mimosarum. It matches the Rfam family "tRNA". Rfam says of the family: Transfer RNA (tRNA) molecules are approximately 80 nucleotides in length. Lineage: Eukaryota; Metazoa; Arthropoda; Arachnida; Araneae; Eresidae. The record is from Rfam by way of RNAcentral.